AUUAUUUUGACAGAAAAAUGUGCUAAAUUUAGAAUUUAGAUAUGUGUUUAUAAAACACAAAUAAUA
Molecule: transfer RNA, 66 nt
Filed under: Ironoquia dubia
Lineage: Eukaryota; Metazoa; Arthropoda; Insecta; Trichoptera; Limnephilidae
Description: tRNA-Leu
Source: RNAcentral